UACGUAGGGUGCGAGCGUUGUCCGGAAUUAUUGGGCGUAAAGCGCUCGUAGGCGGUUUUUCGCGUCUGGCGUGAAAUCCACUGGCUUAACUGGUGGCUUGCUUUCGAUACGGGCAGACUGGAGGUAUGUAGGGGAGAACGGAAUUCCUGGUGUAGCGGUGAAAUGCGCAGAUAUCGGGAAGAACACCCGUGGCUAAGGCGGCUCUCUAGUACGGUACUGACGCUGAGACGCGAAAGCGUGGGGAGCGAACAGG
This 253-nucleotide ribosomal RNA is filed under the name uncultured bacterium. RNAcentral's name for it is "partial 16S ribosomal RNA". It matches the Rfam family "Bacterial small subunit ribosomal RNA", at positions 524 to 776 of the family's 1533-position model. The record is from RNAcentral.